CCUACGGGUGGCAGCAGUGGGGAAUAUUGGGCAAUGGGCGCAAGCCUGACCCAGCAACGCCGCGUGAAGGAAGAAGGCUUUCGGGUUGUAAACUUCUUUUGACAGGGAAGAGCAGAAGACGGUAACUGUAGAAUAAGCCACGGCUAACUACGUGCCAGCCGCCGCGGUAAUUCGUAGGUGGCAAGCGUUGGUCGGAUUUACUGGGUGUAAAGGGCGUGUAGCCGGGCUGACAAGUCAGAUGUGAAAUCCGGGGGCUCAACCCCCGAACUGCCUUUGAAACUGUUGGUCUUGAGUAUCGGAGAGGCAGGCGGAAUUCCUGGUGUAUCGGUGAAAUGCGUAGAUAUUAGGAGGAACACCAGUGGCGAAGGCGGCCUGCUGAACGACAACUGACGGUGAUGCGCGAAAGCGUGGGGAGCAAACAGGAUUAGAUACCCCUGUAGUC
This 442-nucleotide ribosomal RNA is filed under the name uncultured bacterium. RNAcentral describes it as "partial 16S ribosomal RNA". It matches the Rfam family "Bacterial small subunit ribosomal RNA", at positions 338 to 795 of the family's 1533-position model. The record is from RNAcentral.